Molecule: ribosomal RNA, 1478 nt
Filed under: uncultured Bordetella sp.
Lineage: Bacteria; Pseudomonadati; Pseudomonadota; Betaproteobacteria; Burkholderiales; Alcaligenaceae
Description: partial 16S-23S ribosomal RNA intergenic spacer
Rfam family: Bacterial small subunit ribosomal RNA
Source: RNAcentral
GGUUCGAUCAUGGCUCAGAUUGAACGCUGCGAUGCUUUACACAUGCAAGUCGAACGGCAGCACGGACUUCGGUCUGGUGGCGAGUGGCGAACGGGUGAGUAAUGUAUCGGAACGUGCCUAGUAGCGGGGGAUAACUACGCGAAAAGCGUAGCUAAUACCGCAUACGCCCUUCGGGGAAGCGGGGACCUUCGGCCCAUCAUUAGGAGCGGCCGAUAUCGGAUUAGCUAGUUGGUGGGGUAACGGCUCACCAAGGCGACGAUCCGUAGCUGGUUUGAGAGGACGACCAGUCACACUGGGACUGAGACACGGCCCAGACUCCUACGGGAGGCAGCAGUGGGGAAUUUGACAAUGGGGAAAACCCUGAUCCAGCCAUCCCGCGCAGGCGAUGAAGGCCUUCGGGCUUGUAAAGCACUUUGGCAGGAAAGAAAACGGCACGGGAUAAUACCCCGCAACUGACGGUACCUGCAACAAGCACCGGCUAACUACGUGCCAGCAGCCGCGGUAAUACGUAGGGGUGCAAGCGUUAAUCGGAAUUACUGGCAGCGUGCGCAGGCGGCUCGAAAGAAAGAUGUGAAAUCCCAGAGCUUAACUUUGAACUGCAUUUUUAACUACCGAGCUAGAGUGUCAGAGGGAGGUGGAAUUCCGCGUGUAGCAGUGAAAUGCGUAGAUAUGCGGAGGAACAAAUUGAUGGCGAAGGCAGCCUCCUGGGACAACACUGACGCUCAUGCACGAAAGCGUGGGGAGCAAACAGGAUUAGAUACCCUGGUAGUCCACGCCCUAAACGAUGUCAACUAGCUGUUGGGGCCUUCGGGCCUUGUAGCGCAGCUAAUCGCAUGAAGUUGACCGCCUGGGGAGUAAUGGUCGCAAGAUUAAAACUCAAAGGAAUUGACGGGACUCCGCACAAGCGGUGGAUGAUGUGGAUUAAUUCGAUGCAACGCGAAAAAACCUUACCUACCCUUGACAUGUCUGGAAUCCCGAAGAGAUUUGGGAGUGGUUUCGCAAGAGAACUCGGAACACAGGUGCUGCAUGGCUGUCGUCAGCUCGUGUCGUGAGAUGCUGGGUUAAGUCCCGCAACGAGCGCAACCCUUGUCAUUAGUUGCUACGAAAGGGCACUCCCAUCGAGACUGCCGGUGACAAACCGGAGGAAGGUGGGGAUGACGUCAAGUCCUCAUGGCCCUUAUGGGUAGGGCUUCACACGGUCAUACAAUGGUCGGGACAGAGGGUCGCUAACCCGCGAGGGGAGCCAAUCCCAGAAACCCGAUCGUAGUCCGGAUCGCAGUCUGCAACUCACUGCGUGAAGUCAGAAUCGCUAGUAAUCGCGGAUCAGCACGGUCAGUGGCAGGAAUAUUGUUCCGGGUCUUGUACACCGCCCGUCACACCAUGGGAGUGGGUUUUACCAGAAGUAGUUAGCUUAACCGUAAGGGGAGGGCGAUUACCACGGUAGGAUUCAUGACUGGGGUGAAGUCGUAACAAGGUAG